This 21-nucleotide microRNA is filed under the name Mus musculus (house mouse). RNAcentral describes it as "mmu-miR-12199-3p". Lineage: Eukaryota; Metazoa; Chordata; Mammalia; Rodentia; Muridae. The record is from miRBase by way of RNAcentral.
ACACUGGUUCUCUCUGGCUCU